AGUCGAACGAAGUAGCAAUACUUAGUGGCAGACGGGUGAGUAACAUGUAGGUAUCUGCCCUUUGGCCUGGAAUAACACGAGGAAACUUGUGCUAAUACCGGAUAAGUCUUUACGGAGAAAGCUUUAUGCACCAUUGGAUGAGCCUGCACUUGAUUAGUUUGUUGGUGGGGUAAUGGCCUACCAAGACUGUGAUCAAUAGCUGAUUUGAGAGGAUGAUCAGCCACAUUGGGACUGAGACACGGCCCAAACUCCUACGGGAGGCAGCAGUGGGGAAUCUUGCACAAUGGAGGAAACUCUGAUGCAGCGAUGCCGCGUGAGUGAAGAAGGCCCUUGGGUUGUAAAGCUCUUUCGUCGGGGAAGAAAAUGACUGUACCCGAAUAAGAAGGUCCGGCUAACUUCGUGCCAGCAGCCGCGGUAAUACGAAGGGACCUAGCGUAGUUCGGAAUUACUGGGCUUAAAGAGUUCGUAGGUGGUUGAAAAAGUUAGUGGUGAAAUCCCAGAGCUUAACUCUGGAACUGCCAUUAAAACUUUUCAGCUAGAGUAUGAUAGAGGAAAGCAGAAUUUCUAGUGUAGAGGUGAAAUUCGUAGAUAUUAGAAAGAAUACCAAUUGCGAAGGCAGCUUUCUGGAUCAUUACUGACACUGAGGAACGAAAGCAUGGGUAGCGAAGAGGAUUAGAUACCCUCGUAGUCCAUGCCGUAAACGAUGUGUGUUAGACGUUGGAAAUUUAUUUUCAGUGUCGCAGGGAAACCGAUAAACACACCGCCUGGGGAGUACGACCGCAAGGUUAAAACUCAAAUGAAUUGACGGGGACCCGCACAAGUAGUGGAGCAUGUGGUUUAAUUCGAAGAUACGCGCAGAACCUUACCAACACUUGACAUGUUCGUCGCGACUCUAAGAGAUUAGAGUUUUCGGUUCGGCCGGACGAAACACAGGUGCUGCAUGGCUGUCGUCAGCUCGUGUCGUGAGAUGUUGGGUUAAGUCCCGCAACGAGCGCAACCCUCACUUUUAGUUGCCAUCAUUAAGUUGGGCACUCUGAAAGAACUGCCAGUGAUAAGCUGGAGGAAGGUGGGGAUGACGUCAAGUCCUCAUGGCCCUUACGUGUUGGGCUACACACGUGCUACAAUGGUAUCUACAACAGGAAGCAAGACUGCGAAGUUAAGCAAAUCCCUAAAAGAUACCUCAGUUCGGAUUGCACUCUGCAACUCGAGUGCAUGAAGCUGGAAUUACUAGUAAUCGUGGAUCAGCGUGCCACGGUGAAUGCGUUCCCGGGUCUUGUACACACCGCCCGUCACACCAUGGGAGUUGGUUCUACCUUAAG
This 1319-nucleotide ribosomal RNA is filed under the name uncultured Pelagibacterales bacterium. Its description in RNAcentral is "uncultured SAR11 cluster alpha proteobacterium 16S ribosomal RNA". It matches the Rfam family "Bacterial small subunit ribosomal RNA", at positions 60 to 1426 of the family's 1533-position model. The record is from RNAcentral. Lineage: Bacteria; Pseudomonadati; Pseudomonadota; Alphaproteobacteria; Candidatus Pelagibacterales.